RNAcentral lists this long non-coding RNA (13342 nucleotides) under Brassica napus (rape). RNAcentral's name for it is "long non-coding RNA (BNAP_LNC026808)". Lineage: Eukaryota; Viridiplantae; Streptophyta; Magnoliopsida; Brassicales; Brassicaceae. The record is from RNAcentral.
GAGUUAAAGGGUGGAGUUUAGGAUUUAGAGUUUAGGGUUUAGGGUUUAGGGUUUAGAGUUUAGGGUUUAUUGUUUAGGGUUUAGGGUUUAUAGUUUAGGGUUUAUAGUUUAGGGUUUAGGGUUUAUGGUUUAGAGUUUAGGGUUUAGGGUUUAGGGUUUGGGGUUUAGAGUUGACAAAUGAGGUUUUGAGGAUAAGAUUUCUAAUUUUGAAAAAUAAAAAAAUUAAAAUUUUGAAAAGGUAAAAUGCUAUUUUGGUCAUUUUAGUUUUUGUGUGCUAUUUUUGUGAUAUAAACUUAGAAAUGUGCUAUUUUGGAUAUUUGCCCAAUUUGAAACUAGUGUUUUAGAUUAUAAUGUUCAUUUCUUUUGCAUAUUGGCUCUGAUUUUCUAUGCACACUUGGAACAAGUGAUCCGAAUUUGUAAUACAAAAUCCACACAUAUUACAUACUCAAGUUUCCAGCAAAAUAAUGGACUAUAGCACAAUGUUGUUAAGGUCAUUCAGCUGAUACAGGUGGAGCAGUAUUUACAUUUUUAAUUGUUAAUAAACCAAAAUCAAGUCAUGGUUUAAACUUCAAUAUUUCAGAAUGAAUUAUAAAAUGUGACUUCUGUUAUAAAAAGAAUUGGAAUUUUAUUGUAUCGCGGAAAUUUGAAUAAAAGCAAAAUUUAUAUCCGUAGAAUUUUAACACUGAUAGAAAGAGAUUAUUAUAGAGAGAAGAGAAGGUUGAGGGAUGCUCUUCUAAACGAUCGAAAUUGAUCGUUUAUAUAGAGAAGAAAUUCAAUGUGCAAAUAGUGCAGCGGGCCCCACAUCUUUAUAUUUUCAACAAUUGCGAUGGCUGCUGCUUUUUUCUUUGACUUUCGUAACACUCCCCCUUGGGGGCCGGUGUCACUAUCCGCUCUCGCUUAACGUCUUUGUUACCUCGUUAAAAACCUUUCCAGGAAAACCCAAUGGGAAAAACCAUAGUAAGGUAAAAAGAGUACAACUACGUAAGCUCCCCCUCGAAUGAACAGUCAUAGAUCCUUCUGAUGACGCAUCCCAAUGUUAUGGAUGUGUUUUCUGAAUACCGAGGUAGGGAGUGAUUUUGUGAAGAGGUCGGCUGCAUUGUCGCAUGAUCGAACAUAUCUUACUUCAAUCUCUUUAUUCUUCUCGAGCUCUUGAGUGUAUGAGAAGAACUUCGGAGGUAUAUGUUUGGUUCUAUCGCUUUUGAUAUAUCCUUCCUUCGUUUGAGCAACACAUGCCGCGUUAUCUUCAUAUAGAAUAGUUGGCUCCGUAUUUUCGUCAAUCCCACUGCUUGAACAGAUGUGUCGGCUUAUUGAUCUUAGCCAUACACAUUCUCUACUUGCUUCAUGGAGUGCAAUGAUCUCAGCGUGAUUUGAAGAAGUAGCAACAAGUGUCUGCUUCUGAGAACGCCAAGAUAUGGCGGUGCCUCCAAUUGUAAAAACAUAUCCUGUCUGGGAUCGAGCUUUGUGUGGAUCUGACAAAUAACCUGCAUCUGCAAAACCAAUCAUUUGACCUUUUGAACUUUUAGGAUAAAACAAGCCUAAAUCAGUUGUUCCUUGAAGGUAACGAAAGACAUGUUUAAUUCCAUUCCAAUGUCUUCGUGUAGGAGACGAACUGAAUCUCGCUAAAAGAUUAACAGCAAAGGAUAUGUCAGGUCGAGUACAAUUUGCAAGAUACAUAAGAGCUCCAAUUGCACUUAAGUAUGGAGUUUCAGGACCAAGUAUUUCUUCAUUUUCCUCAGAUGGUCGAAACGGAUCAUUUUCAACAUUAAGUGAUCUAACGACCAUCGGGGUGCUAAGAGGAGUUGCUUUAUCCAUGUUAAAGCGUUUCAAUACUCGUUUGGUAUAUGUAGACUGGUGUACAAAUAUACCCUUUCGAGAAUGCUCAAUUUGUAAUCCUAGACAAUAUUUUGUCUGCCCGAGAUCUUUCAUCUCAAAUUCUCCUUUCAGAUAGUUUGAUGCCUUUUGGAUUUCGUUUUGAGUUCCAAUAAUAUUAAGAUCAUCAACGUACACCGCGAUUAUCACAAAUCCGGAUGUUGUUUUCUUUAUGAAAACACAAGGGCAUAUAGGAUCAUUCGUGUAUCCUUCUUUUGUUAAGUGUUCGCUGAGACGAUUAUACCACAUUCGUCCAGAUUGUUUUAACCCAUAUAAUGAUCUUUGCAAUUUUAUUGCACAUAACUCUUUAGGUUUGGAACUUAACGUUUCUGGCAUUUUAAAUCCAUCUGGGAUUCUCAUAUAGAUAUCAGUAUCUAAUGAUCCAUAUAAAUAUGCCGUAACGACAUCCAUGAGACGCAUUUCUAAAUUUUCAUUGGCCGCUAGGCUCAUCAGGAAUCUAAAUGUGAUUGCGUCCAUGACAGGAGAAUAAGUUUCCUCAUAAUCAAUUCCUGGCCUUUGAGAGAAACCUUGGGCUACGAGACGAGCUUUGUAUCUUGUAAUCUCGUUUUUCUCAUUUCUUUUUCGGACAAACACCCAUUUGUACCCAACUGGUUUUACAUCUUUGGGUGUGAGCACAAUAGGUCCGAAUACAUUUCGUUUGUUAAGCGAAUCUAAUUCGACUUGAAUUGCAUCUUUCCAUUUUAUCCAGUCAUGUCUCUUUUGACAUUCAUAUACAGACUUUGGUUCUGGAUCUUCGUUUUCUUCAUUUAUUUCCUUUGCUAAAAGGUAUGAGAAAACGUCAUCAAUAUCAUCCAUCUCAUUUCGUUUCCAUAUCUUUCCAUUAUGGAUGUAAUUGAUAGAAAUCUCAUGAUUUCCUUCAGAUUCAAGAUGCUUUAUAUUGUCAUUAGAUUCACAAUUUUCUUCGUCCAAAAUAUUUUCUGUUAUUUUGGGAGUAUCAUGCUUUUCACAUUCCUUACGUUUUCUAGGAAGUUUAUCCUUUGAACCAAUAGGUCUACCGCGCUUUAAACGUGUUCCUGAUUCACGUGUAUCAACUGCCGUUCCACCAUUUUGUGGUAUUUCAAUACGAGCAGGAGUAUUUGCAGCGGGUAUAUGUGAUUUAGUUACCAUUUUGGUAUCAGCAAAUGCAUCAGGUAGCUGAUUUGCUAUAUUUUGUAAAUGCAUGAUACGUCGAACUUCUAGUUCUGACUGUUUCGUAGGAGGAUCAAGGUGUAAUAACGAUGGUACACUCCAUUUGAUCUCUUUUCCUACUUGUUUAUUGUCUCCCCCUAGAGUUGGGAAUUCUUUCUCAUUGAAAUGACAAUCGGCAAAUCGUGCCGUAAACACAUCACCAGUUUGUGGUUCUAGGUAUCUUAUUAUUGAUGGAGAAUCAUAGCCAAUAUAUAUUCCCAACCGUCUUUGCGGUCCCAUCUUUGUACGUUGCGGUGGUGCUAUUGGAAUAUAAACCGCACAACCAAAGAUUUUUAGAUGAGAGAUAUUUGGUUCUUUUCCAAAUGCUAACUGUAAUGGGGAAUAUCUAUGGUAUGCACUUGGUCUUAUCCGAAUUAGUGCUUCUGCAUGCAAAAUAGCAUGUCCCCAUACAGAGGUUGGGAGUUUUGAUCUCAUGAUCAAUGGCCUUGCAAUUAGUUGCAGCCGUUUAAUUAAUGAUUCUGCCAAACCAUUUUGUGUAUGAACAUGAGCAACAGAAUGCUCUACUUCAAUCCCUGAUACCAUACAAUAAUCAUUAAAAGCUUGGGAUGUGAAUUCACCAGCGUUAUCUAAUCUAACUCUUUUAAUUGGAUAAUCUGAGAACUGUGCUCUUAAUUUGAUUAUCUGAGUUAGAAAUCUCGCAAAUGCCAUAUUUCGAGAUGAUAACAAACAAACAUGUGACCAUCUACUCGAUGCAUCGAUUAAUACCAUAAAGUAGUAGAAUGGUCCACACGGUGGAUGUAUUGGUCCACAAAUAUCACCUUGGAUUCUUUCCAAAAACUUUGGUGAUUCUUUGUCAAUUUUGGUUGGUGAUGGCCUUAUGAUUAAUUUCCCAAGAGCACACGCAUCACAUGUCAUUUUAUUACUUUGGUAUAUAUCUUGGGUUUUUAUUGAAUGACCAUGUGAGCUUUCAAUGAUUUUUCGCAUCAUUGUAGUGCCUGGGUGACCAAGACGAUCAUGCCAUAAUGCAACAUCUUCUGGAUUUCUCUUGAUCACCUGUGAUUCUAUAGCAUCAAUAUAAGUGUGAUGCAAUCCAGAAGGAAGUUCUGGAAAUUUUUCCAGUACAAGGCUUUUGCCUGAUUUUUCAGAAGUUAUAUACAAAUACUUCUUUCCAUUCUCAGUUGCAGACUGAGUGUUAUACCCUUGACGGUAUAUAUCUUUGAAACUCAACAAAUUUCUCUUAGAAUUUGGAGAAUAUAAGGCAUUAUCUAUGGAAAACUUUGUUCCAUUAGGCAACAUAAAGUUCGCCUUGCCAAUUCCUUCGAUCAGGUCUGUAGGACCUGAUAUUGUGUUUAUAGUCAUUUUUACUGACUUUAAAGUAGAGAAAUAUCUCUUAUCCUUCAGUAUAGUGUGCGUUGUGCCACUAUCUGGUAUGCAAACUUCUCUACCAAUUUGUUUAGUUGUUGUUCCAUUUGCUUUCUUAUCCAUUUCUGUAACACACAGUUAAUAUCAAUAAAGAAAAUAAACUUUCAUAAGUAAACAUAUUAUGCAUCAAUAACAAGUACACAAUAAUUAUACAUUAGAUAUUUUGAAAUACAACAUUAUUUUGAAAGUGAAAUACAUAAUAUUUUAUGGCAUCACUAGGCAUUAUUAAGCUUGAUCAGAACAAGCACUUCAAUUAUUUUGAUGAGUGGCCUCGUCGAAAUCUCCCAUAAAGUCAGAGGAUUCGAGGUAUGUCGAUGUUGUACCCACAAGGUGUUCAUUGAGAUUUACUUCCUUUGCCUUGCCUUUAAUAGAUUCUUGGUACAAUUGGCAUAGAUGCCGAGGAGUUCGACAUACUUGAGACCAGUGUCCCUUCGAUCCACAUCUGUAACAGACGUUCUCAUUUUUAUGAGUAGGGUUUUCUUGGGUUUCUUUCCCUUUUACCCGAUCAGAUCGAUUCCAUGUGUUGGAUCCCCUUCCUCUUGGGUUGUUACUCCUUUCAUGGUUGCGGUUAAAUCGAUAACCACGACCACGACCAAAACCACGAUUGUGACCACGGCCACGACCACGCCCACGAUAGGAAUAAUUUCCUUUUUCCGGAUUUUUUAUAUCCGUUGCAUUUACCUCAGGAAAUGCUUUGGUUCCCGUGGGUCGGGCAUUGUGGUUUUUAAUGAGGAGUUCAUUAUUUCUCUCCGCUAUUAUAAGCGCCACAGCGAGUUCAGAGAACCUCGUAUACCCACAAUUUCUAUAUUGUUCUUGUAGAACAUAAUGAUUUUUGUGGAACGUUUGGUAAGUUUUCUCGAGCAUUUCUGCUUCCGAGACAGGCUUACCGCAAUAAUCUAAUUGCGCCGCUAUUCUCAAUAUAGCGGAAUUGUACGUUUCCACUUUUUCAAAAUCUUGAAAUCGUAGAUUUUUCCACUCAUCAAGCGCAUGGGGGAGAGUAAUUUUUCUUUGGUUAUCAAACCUCUCCUUCAGAGCUUUCCAAAGAUCUAAGGGAUCUUUGGUUCUCGCAUAAUCAUGCGUAAGAUUUUCAUCUAGAUGCCUUCUCAGAAAUAUCACGGCCUUAGCCUUUUCAUGAGAGGUUGAUAUAUUGCCGUCUUUUAUUGUUCCGAGUAUUUCCUCGGAAUCUAGAUGAAGCUCCAUGUUUGUAACCCAUGCCGUGUAGUUUGUCCCAGUUACUUCCAAUGCCGGAAACUGAAGUUUCUCGAUUUUUGCCAUUUGUAUUUCUAAAGCACAUAAAUAAAAAUUAUUAGAAUAUUAUUCAUAUUAAAAGGAACCGUUUACAUUAAUCAUGCAAGCAAUUACAAGGAGAAGCGAUGUAAAGAAAAUUAAACCGAUAUUCAUCUUAAAUUCACUCGGAGUAAAUUCUCCAACGAAUAAACCAUAAAUAGAAACACAAAUAAAAAUGGCACAUAAAAACAAAAGUGCGCGAAUCAUCUUUCUUGAAAUGAAAAAUCGGAGGAGAGCGAUUUGAAAUUUUUGAGAGAAGAUGAAAUGUUUUGGAUGAUGAAAUGGAGUGAAAAUGAGUUGUAUUUAUAGAUGAAAAUCACUGUUCAUGACCGUUGGAGAAAAGGGAAAUUUUUGAAAAAAAUUUUUUGUAUUUCGAAUCGCAGAGUGAUCGUGCUGAUAACGUGUUAUAAAAAGAAUUGGAAUUUUAUUGUAUCACGGGAAUUUGAAUAAGAGCAAAAUUUAUACCCGUAGAAUUUUAACACUGAUAGAAAGAGAUUAUUAUAGAGAGAAGAGAAGGUUGAGGGAUGCUCUUCUAAACGAUCGAAAUCGAUCGUUUAUAUAGAGAAGAAAUUCACUGUGCAAAUAGUGCAGCGAGCCCCACAUCUUUAUAUUUUCAACAAUUGCGGUGGCAGCUGCUUUUUUUCUUUUACUUUCGUAACAACUAGAGAACCUCGUAUACCCACAAUUUCUAUAUUGUUCUUGUAAAACAUAAUGAUUUUUGUGGAACGUUUGGUAAGUUUUCUAGAGCAUUUUCACGGAUUACAGUAUUAGAUUACUUGGGGAAACGGAAUCAAAUCAAAAAGGUAUGAGCUUUGGGAAAGGAAAUCAAAAUCUGGGUACUUAGGACGGAAGAAACAGAGAGAGAGAGAGAGAAUGAACCUCAACGACGUUGAGCUUGAAGCAAAUGCAGAUCCUUUCCUCCACGUUUUUCAGGAGAGUGGAAGAAGAUACAGCAAUUGUUAAAGAAUUCAAGAAGUCGUUAAGGGACGAGGUUGAAGCAUGAACACGUGAAAGUUUCAAGCUUUGACGCGCCUUUGAGCCUCCGUUUGAUGAUGAUGAUCCUCUUUACCGGACUUUUUUAUUUGGGCUUUUUGCAUUAGCCCAAAUUUAUAAGGCCUUUAUUACGAGGCCCAUUUAUUCCUCUUUUCAAACAAACAAAAAAAUGUGUGAAGAGAAAAAAAUGAGAUCAUUUGUAUAAGCUAAAUAAUUGAGCAAUUAGUGGACCCAACUCGUGAACUAGUGGAAAGCGAAACAUAUGACAAAAGUGGUCACCUUUUGUGUGGUUUUAUAUAUUAGAUUUGAGGUAUUGGCAAAAGCAAACUCAGGAACUGAUUUACCAAGCCUUUAGUGGAAUUAACACACGUUUUACUUAUAUUAUGAACAAAUAUAAGUAUGAUGAGAUUGGAUAUUUAGAUUCUUCAAUUAUUAUAUUUUCUUUUAAAAUUUAGUAAAAAUGAAAUGAUGAAUAUAAAUAUGUAUUUGGAAUAUUUUUUAUAUAUUUUUUUAUUGUAGUUAUAAUAAUAAAAUUUUAAAAAUGAUUUUAUUCUGAAUUGAAGUUUGAUGGAGAAAUUGAGUGAUAUUGGAGAUGUUACAUAAAGAUACAGAAUGGCCUAAAGUGAUUAUACCCCACCAACCAAUUAUUGCUUAGAAUUAUAUAUUAUGCCAAAAGAAAUUUAAAUUAUAUAGGGAUUAAGACAUUCUACCACCACUUGGUGCCUCAAAGAAUAUCUUAAAUGACUAUUCCUCACUUCCCACUCCAUGUCUCCAUCUUGUUCCAAUUUGUUUUUAACAAAUUUGAAACUGGUGUUUUAGACUAUAAUGUUCAAUUCAUUUGCAUAUUGUCUCUGAGUUUCUUUGCACACUCGGAACAAGUGAUCUGAAUUUGUAAUACAAAAUCCACACAUAUUACAUACUCAAGUUUCCAGCAAAAUAAUGGACUGUAGCAUAAUGUUGUUAAGGUCAUUCAGCUGAUACAGAUGGAGCAGCAUUUUCAUUUUUAAUUGUUAAUAAACCAAAAUCAAGUCAUGGUUUAAACUUCAAUAUUUCAGAAUGAAUUAUAAAAUGCUUGUUAUUUUCAGCUUCAUGUGAGCUUAUUGGUCAACCAGGAAUACAACAUACCACUUGGGAUUAAAAAUUGGGUGAAUGAAACGUAUGUAUAAUCUCAAGAUAAAAAAAAAAAAGCAUCUGAUGAGCUCAUUCUCUACAAUGAUGAUAGCAUUAUAUUAUAAUUAUCUUAGUUUUGAGGCAAAGACUUAGAGACUAGAAGACAAACAAAAGUGGACCAGAUAUGUGUGGUUUAGAUUAUUAUAGAUAAUGGCUCCCAUCGAUACAACUUAAGGGAUGAUGAUGCUACUUUUGUCUUUCCUUUUGGAAGUUUAAUGUAUCCAUCACUAUGAUUCAUUUCCCCAUUUAUACUCUUAUUAUUCGUUUCUCUAUCGCAUAAUCCAUAUUACUUAGAAACUAACAACAUAUCUAUUCAUAAGCAGCAUUUUAAUGAUUAGGUUAAUAUACUUUGAAAUAUACGCAAAGAAUCAUUCGUGUUAACUCUUUUUGAUCAAGUAGUAUACGUAAGUAAAUAUAAAAGUGAAGUUGACAUUUACAAACGCCCCACCCAGCUUCCUUGUUUUAUUAGAGAACUCCAAUAUCUUGCGAAAGAAGUUGAGUUGAAUUUUUUUCGGGUCGAAAAGUUGAGUUCAAUUUGUUAACGAGGUGUUAUUUACCAAUUACAAACGUAAGGUACAUCUCCUCUUUAUGUAUACACAUACAUAAAUAACCUUCAAUAAUUGUAAUGAAAGAAAUAAAUACCAACAGAAAAUUUCAUAAAAAAAAAUAAUACCAACAGAAAAUAAAUUAUAUACAUACAUAUGCUUCACCAUAAUACUCGCAUUUAUUGGAAAUCAAUGCUUACCAUUGACCACAUAUUUUUCUUCAUAAAUAAUUUUUGUAUGAACCGAUUAAGAAAAUUCCCUAAAAAAAACAGUGAAGUUAUAAUUAUAGAGUUCAUCAUCAAAAUUAAUUGUUAUAGUUAUAUAGUUCAUCAUCAAAAUUAAUUAAGUUAAGUACGGAUGAUUAAGAAAAGGCUAAAAUGGUAUGACAUCAUCACAGUUAAUGCAGGAAAAUAAAAGGCUUGUGAGAAGCCGCACAACCAAUUGGCUCCAACGUGGGAGAUUAACAAACGGUUUCAAUUAGUACGUGACUGACACGUGAGUAAGCAGCGUGUGGUAUAAGAAAGGCUGUCCCCAAGAGAGGCGGAGACCAAUCAAGGAAAGACAACAGUACACAUCACCACUCUUCCUUGAUGCCCAUUCGUUAGCCUCCCUAGCCAAAUCUUAUUCCUUUAAUCUCUUGUUCUGUAGCUUCCUGAUUUGGAUAAAACUUCAUCUCUUCUUUCCCUUUGAAGAAACGAAGUUUCUAUAACUUUUUGCGUAUUUUUCCCAGAGAAAGUUAUAAUCUUUCAACUUCUGAGCUCACAUUUGGUGAUUCUCAGGGGGGGGGGGGGGUCUUUUCUCGAAAGUCUUGAGCUUUUUUUUUAUUUUUAUUUUUACUUAAAGCAGGAGUUACACAACAAAAAGUAGAAGACUUUAUCAUCUUGUCAGGUCCGUUUCUAUUCAUCUGUCCUUUGGUAAUAAUAACUGCUUUCUGUUUUGUGUCUCUGAUAGUCUUCUUUCUUCAAACUCUUUCCUUCUGCAUUCUGAAUCUAGCUCUUCGUUUCUCUCCCUUCUGUGUAUUUUCUCAGACCUGAUUUGCUUCCUCUGUGCAAGUUUCAUGCUUCGUCGGUGCCUCGUGUUGCAUUACUUGAAUUGGUAAAUCAACCACAUUUAAGUGUUGUUCAUUUCUAAAUUUGUAAAUCUGGUUAGUCUCAUUCUGGGGUGUUUAGGUUUAAACACAAAACACAAAACACAAGUCAUGUCCCUUUGGUUACUCCAAUCCCACAGUUUUUGUCAGAGUAAAUAAAAAAGGCAAUCCAAGUGCAACAUCGGAUAUUAGACAGAAUAAAGUCUAAUAUAUAUAGUUGGUCCAAUUUCACUUAGUACGAGGCUUUUUGCGAGUAACGACCCAAAAACAAAACGGACAAUAUCAUACUAAGCGAGGGAUUGGACAUCUGGUGACGGACAUCUGCUCUAGUAGAGCAUCUGGCCCAUGAGUGCAUCUCGUCCGUCACAACAGUUUUAGACUAGUUCAUGAAAAACAUGUAAACUUGUUGGAUUUAGUUUGGAUUUGUCUAUAUAGUCAACGAUGGAACAUUAGAUGAUUCUGUAUGCCUUGCUCUGGAAGUUAACUAUACAAACUGACUCAAUCCUUGUGUCACUAACAUUGUUUAUCUUGAUUAGUGUAAGAAACCCAUUUUGAUCCAAGGAAUCAUGAACAGUCAUAGGCUUGUGUCAACGGCACAAGAGGAAUGCAACAAAGGAAUUCAAAAAGCUUGCUCGUCCUCUCUCUCUCCGGCCUACAACUUUCUGAAUGUCCAGCCAGAAACCACCAGAAAAUCUCCUUUCAUACGGUCACAACCUCCAGAUUGGCCAAAGAAUAGUACGUUUUCACGGUCUUCCACCUUCUGCACCAACCUCUACUCCUCAUCCUCUUCAGCCAAUGAGACUAAGAAACAUUUGGGAAACAGUCUUCCUUUCCUCCCUGAUCCCUCUGCUUCUGCUUCUGGUGUGGAGUCUGCAAGAUCUCCAUCUGUCUUCAGCGAGGAUUUGGGCAAUCCGUUUGAUGGAGACAACAACUCCUCGCUUGUCAAAGAUUUCUUUAAUCUCUCCGCGGAAGCUUGUUCCAAUGGAGGUUAUCAUGAUCUGGACUGUUCCAACGACAGCUUAUCAGAUCAACUGGAGCUGCAGUUCCUGUCUGAUGAACUUGAGCUGGCCAUCACAGACCGAGCUGAAACUCCAAGGCUUGAUGUAAGUUAUUUUUAGUCUGUGUCCAUCUCUUAUGAGUUUGCUAUUAUGAUAACACUUCUCCUAAAUGACUUGUUGAUACAUAUAGAGAGUGUGUGACGAGUGAUUUUUUUUUUUCCUUUUAACAUUUAGCUUUUGGUUGAAUCAGGAGAUCUAUGAAAACCCAUUGGCUUCGCCAAUUCCAGUGACUGUACUGAGUCCAAGCCAAAGAUGCGAUGCUGGAGCAAUGUCCAUUGACCCAGUUUCACCUCACCCUUCUCCACGAUCAGCAGCAGCAGCCAAUCAAAAGCCGAGAAUGAGAUGGACCCCUGAGCUCCACGAGAGUUUUUUGAACUCGGUGAACAAACUUGAAGGGCCUGAAAGUGAGUUUUAGGCUUUUUUUCUUUUUAACCUUCUGCUGAUAACACUUAACCCUGGUGUUGCUUCAAAACAUGUAGAGGCCACACCAAAGGCUGUUCUGAAGCUUAUGAAUGUUGAGGGCUUGACGAUCUACCAUGUAAAAAGCCACUUGCAGGUACUAAAAUUAGUUUGCCUCUCACUUAUUUCACAAGUACAUAAUACAAAAGUAGCUGAAUAUCUCUGAAAAUUGCAGAAGUAUAGACUAGCAAAGUAUAUGCCAGAGAAAAAAGAAGGUAAAAGCUUCCAACUUGUUAUUGUGAUUAUUACACAGAUUCUAUGUUCCUUCUUGUGUAUUAACUUUUGUUUAUUCCGCAGCGAAAAAGAAUGUUAAUUCAGAGGAGAAGAAACUCGCUUUGAGCAACAGUGAAGCUGAUGAGAAGAAGAAAGGGUAAGGCAUUGUGUUUCUUGCUUGGUUUCUGAAUCCCCAAACAUGUGAUCUUUAAAGUGACUCUCUUCUUCCAUGGACAGGGCAAUACAAUUAACUGAAGCUCUCCGUAUGCAGAUGGAAGUUCAAAAGCAACUGCAUGAACAACUCGAGGUAACACCUAUUACACUUUAGUCCAGCAAAAGAAAGAUUCAAGAUUUGUUGCCAUAACCAAUCUCGUGAAUUGAUCAACUUGCAGGUGCAACGUGUGCUUCAGCUACGAAUAGAAGAGCAUGCUAAAUACUUGGAAAAGAUGCUUGAAGAACAACGCAAAGCCGGAAGGCUAUUUUCUUCUUCUUCUUCUUCUCAGACUUUGUUAUCACCUAGUGAUGACGAGACUAGACCAGACUCUCAAAACAUGUCCAAGACCGAAGCAUCUCUGCCUCAGCCUUCAUCAUCUGCAAAGCACAUAGCUUCUGAAACCGAAGACGAUCAAUGUGAGUCCCCUCAGAAACGUCGCAGGCUUGAGAACAGUACUGAACCUCAAGAUUCUGAGAGGUAGCAGGCUUCUUCAAGUAUGUGUAUAUAUGGUCUGCUUUUUGCGUUGUUUGGUAGAGAGGAUGUUGGUGGUGGUCACUCAAAAGUAGAUGUUUGUAAUGUAGAUCUUUGUCGGACGCGUGUAAACUUAUUUAAGUAUCUUUGAGGUUGUUCCCUUCGAUUUGCUUGCUGAUUCCAUGUCGUUUAAGGAUUCUUUCAGUUAAAUACAUGAUAGUCCCUCCGUUUCAGUUUAAAUGUUGUUGUAGAGUAAAAUUUUUGUUUCAAAAUAAGUGUCGGUUUAUAAUUUCAAUGCAAAAUUUAUUGGCUUUUUAUUCCAGUCUAUUUUUCUAUUGGUCAAAAUCUGGUUAGGUGUAUUGGUAAUGAUGUUUUUAUUUUGAAAAUAUAUAAAAUCAAAUGUUUUGUUAAUUUGUGUGCGUAAGUCCAAAACGACAAUUAAAAUGAAACGGAUGGAGUAAUAUUUUGGAACCAUGGACCCCCUUUCAGUUAAAUUAGUGACAAAACAUAUCUAGCUGAAAGAAGCGCUCUAAGUAUGGUUUGCAUCAAAAAUUAUAAACUCAAUACCAUAAUUUGAAUAAAUUUAAAAUUCUUUUUAAGAGAAAACAAGGAGACAGGACCUUCGCUUUCACUCCCCCGAGAACUAAUAAGGGUUUCGUUUCUCUUCCGGAUUUUGUUGUCGUCUCCUGUUCUCCGACUCAACGCUUCGACUCAGCUUUGACUCAACCAUUCACUCAGCUCAGGUAAAUCUCUCAUUGCGCUUCCAAGCAGUAUACAACACAAUGGGGUUUGUGUUCUUAAGUUGUCUGUUAGAAAAAGGUGCUUGCUUUGAGCUUCUUUGUCACACUGGAUGCAUGUUUGAAGUUGAAAAAGGAUCGAUUUUUCUUCACUGUAACGUUUAAAGUUUCGUUUUUUUUUUUGCUUCUUAUCUCUGUUUAUCCAUGAACAUUGAAACGGUCUCAGUCAUUAUGAGAUCAAGUUAGGGAAGCUGCAAUGUGAGAAUCAAGAAAAUGCUUCUAAGUCUUUUUUAUUUUAUUUUUGUAGUCUUUUGAAUGGACGAUACCUUAAUGGAGAUUCGGGAGCAUGGAGUUACUGUGGACAAGAAGAAACAAGAGAAAAAAGUAAAAAUAGCGAUAAAUCAAGUUUUUGUUCCCAAACUAGCACUCAAGGUCAAAAGUCACAAAAAUAACACUUAAUGUUUUAUCAAAAGUCACCAACUUAAGGUUUAGAGUUAAAGGGGUGGGGUUUAGGAUUUAGGGUUUAGGGUUUAGAGUUUAGAGUUUAGGGUUUAGGGUUUAGAGUUUAGGGUUUAGAGUUUAGGGUUUAGGGUUUAGAGUUUAGAGUUUAGGGUUUAGGGUUUAGGGUUUAGGGUUGAGAAAUGAGGUUUUGGGGAUAAGAUUUCAAA